CCUUUUUUUUUUCUUCUUUCUUCUCUGUUUCUUCUUUCUUUCUUCUUUUCUUUUUUCUUUCUUCUCCGUUCAGCCCCGACGGUGCACCCCCAACCUGGCGCGGCGAUCAGUGGUGGCGCACGGUUGCAGGAGAGCCAUCAUGGCCUAGGGAGGCUGCUGGAGUAGCUCGGCUGGGGAGGGGUACGCUUGGCUGCUAUUGCGGUGAUUUGACAAGUCCAGGAGGACCAAAUUGCAUAGGAUGCAAAGCUUCUGGGGCAAAAGUGCAAUUUUAGCAAAAAUAUGGUCCAAAAUGUAAUUUCUUGAAAGUUUAGGGGUUAAAGUGAAAUUUUGAGAAAGUUUAGGGGUUGAAAUGUAAUUUUAGAAAAGUUUGGGUCAAAAUGUAAAUUUUGAAAAGUACAGGGGUCAAAUGUAAAUUUCAAAAAGUACAGGGGUCAAAAUGCAAUUUUUUUAAUUUUUUUUUAAACACGAAAUUAUUCCCGGACAAAA
Long non-coding RNA from Gossypium raimondii (Peruvian cotton), 486 nucleotides. RefSeq lists it as uncharacterized. The record is from RefSeq and is a predicted model, not a curated record. NCBI's taxonomy places the organism in Eukaryota, Viridiplantae, Streptophyta, Magnoliopsida, Malvales, Malvaceae. The transcript is spliced from 2 exons.